This is a non-coding RNA of Sturnus vulgaris (Common starling), 477 nucleotides long. NCBI's taxonomy places the organism in Eukaryota, Metazoa, Chordata, Aves, Passeriformes, Sturnidae. The record is from RefSeq and is a predicted model, not a curated record.
ACGGCGCGCAGGGACGUCAUCAUGUUCUUCAUGCUGCUGUCCAGCCCCGUGAACGCGUCCCAGCUCUUCACCUCCUUGUCCAAACCCCGGAUGUCCUUAGCGAAUUUCUUGCACUCGAUAUCCAUGUCCUCAACGUUCAGGUCCGCCCACCUGGUUGUCUUCCAGGUGGCGAUGUUCAAGUUCACCUGGCCCCAGGAUACAUUUUCACAAUUAGCAGAUUAGCAGAAGCAUUCCUGCCCAGGAAGAGGAGCAGCACACUCAGUGCCUGCAUGCCCUGUGUGCCCAGCGGGCCCCCCACACCUGCACACACCAUGCAGACCUGCUCUAAGUGUGACAACCUGCCCCGUGUCUCAUCCUCCCUCUGAUGGCAAUGAGCUCUCUCAGAGGCUGCAACAGCUCUGCACCUUGGGCUGGCAAUGGCCGGCUGGCAACAGGUGCCCAUGCCAGCCAAAAGCAGCCUGCUGUCCAGCCCUUGCC